GACGAACGCUGGCGGCGUGCUUAACACAUGCAAGUCGAGCGGAAAGGCCACUUCGGUGGUACCCGAGCGGCGAACGGGUGAGUAACACGUGAGUAAUCUGCCCCUGGCUUUGGGAUAGCCACCGGAAACGGGGAUUAAUACCGGAUACGACCACUUCUCGCAUGGGAUGGUGGUGGAAAGUUUUUUCGGCCAGGGAUGUGCUCGCGGCCUAUCAGCUUGAUGGUGAGGUAAUGGCUCACCAUGGCUUCGACGGGUAGCCGGCCUGAGAGGGUGACCGGCCACACUGGGACUGAGACACGGCCCAGACUCCUACGGGAGGCGGCAGUGGGGAAUAUUGGACAAUGGGCGGAAGCCUGAUCCAGCAACGCCGCGUGAGGGAUGACGGCCUUCGGGUUGUAAACCUCUUUCAGCAGGGACGAAGCGCAAGUGACGGUACCUGCAGAAGAAGCACCGGCCAACUACGUGCCAGCCGCCGCGGUAA
RNAcentral lists this ribosomal RNA (481 nucleotides) under uncultured bacterium. RNAcentral's name for it is "partial 16S ribosomal RNA". It matches the Rfam family "Bacterial small subunit ribosomal RNA", at positions 28 to 523 of the family's 1533-position model. The record is from RNAcentral.